UACGGAAGAUCCGAGCGUUAUCCGGAAUUACUGGGCGUAAAGAGUUGCGUAGGUGGCAUAUAAAGCGAAUAGUGAAAGGUCCCGGCUCAACCGGGGAUACAUUAUUCGAACUUAUAAGCUAGAGCAUAGUAGAGGUACCUGGAAUUCCCAGUGUAGGAGUGAAAUCCGUAGAUAUUGGGAGGAACACCGAUGGCGUAGGCAGGGUACUGGGCUAUUGCUGACACUAAGGCACGAAAGCGUGGGGAGCGAACGGG
RNAcentral lists this ribosomal RNA (254 nucleotides) under uncultured bacterium. RNAcentral describes it as "partial 16S ribosomal RNA". It matches the Rfam family "Bacterial small subunit ribosomal RNA", at positions 524 to 776 of the family's 1533-position model. The record is from RNAcentral.